Molecule: transfer RNA, 75 nt
Filed under: Caudoviricetes sp.
Lineage: Duplodnaviria; Heunggongvirae; Uroviricota; Caudoviricetes
Description: tRNA-Pro
Rfam family: tRNA
About the family: Transfer RNA (tRNA) molecules are approximately 80 nucleotides in length. Their secondary structure includes four short double-helical elements and three loops (D, anti-codon, and T loops).
Source: RNAcentral
CGAGGAAUGAGGGAGUUGGUUUACCCUACCUGAUUUGGAUUCAGGAAGUCGCAAGUUCGAGUCUUGCUUCCUCGA